This 782-nucleotide long non-coding RNA is filed under the name Zostera marina. RNAcentral describes it as "long non-coding RNA (ZMAR_LNC001532)". The record is from RNAcentral. Lineage: Eukaryota; Viridiplantae; Streptophyta; Magnoliopsida; Alismatales; Zosteraceae.
UUCGUCGGAGUUAAUCGGAAAAAUAUGUCGUCUAUGAAAUUGAUCAUAUUCUUCUUCAUCAUCAUCUUCAAUCUUCUUUUCAUCAUACAAGGUCGUCGGUGGUUCUCCUACUCUUUUUUUUACAUUGCGCGCGCUUCAUUUCAAUUCUUUGAUUCUAAUUCAUUUCAUAGUUGUUUAUCUUGGUAUGAAUGAAUAUAUAUAUGCAGGCACUGAUCAGUUGACAAAACCCAUAGCCAUGGAAGAAGAAAAACAAGAAAUUUCACCGGUGGUAUUUAGUGAUCUUCACUGCAUAUAUCAUAAUGAUAACGGAGUAGAUUUGUGGUGUUGUCCAGUACAUUAUCCCCAUGCAGUUUGUUUUCCUACCAAAGCGGAUUGUGAUAAUUCAGAUCAAUGUGAUAAAUAGCUUAUAAAGUCUACAUCAGAUCGGAAGAAUAAAUUAUUGGAGAUUUUUGAGUUUAUUUUCUUGUGUAUCUCUCGAAUAAUCUGAUCAUUAUUUCAAAUCUGCACAUUAACUUCACUACUAUUGAUCCUUACUACCUGAUUUCUGAAUGAUCAGAAUUUCAAACCCCCGAAAUGCUCCCCAAUCCUAUUUUAUAUGAGCAGGGGUGUAUGUAGAGGGACUAGGGAGGGCAAUUGUCUCCCUUAAAAUUUGGCAAAUUUAAAAGGAUCUAUAUGUAAUUUAUAAUUAUAUAGGGGUUCAAUAAAUUUUUACACUAUAUUAAUAUUUUAGGAAGGUUAACUUAUAAAUUUUACAUUAUAUAAUUAUAAAAUAUUUUUUAAUA